GUUUGGUUGUGGCUUAUGUGUCCCAUAUCACAAUUCUCUGCUAUUCCCAGAUGAACCCAUUUUUCCUGGAAAAAUAACUGGCGGGGUUUCUUGUCAACAUUCCUUGGUGAUCAUGCAUGGACCCAGAGAAGACCGCACCUCUCCCAGCUGCUGAGCAAACAGGUGCGGGUCCCACAGAGCCCACUGCGCUCACUGCUUUCUCCCCCACCCUGAGCUGGAGGAACUGGACUGUUCCUCUCGGAUCUGUGCCCUUUGGAAAUGCGCUGGCCUUUGGUCUGACUCCUGCUGAAACGGUGUUCUUCGGGACAUUUUCCUUUUUCUUCUAGAGAAAACCCUCUAAGAAAUGGGAUCUCAGUCACCAAAAUGCUUUUUGGGCAACACCUCCUUCUUUUAGUUGUAAAAACCAGGCCCCCUGCUCAUGUGCAUGUCUAAUUAAGUGGACUGAACCAAAAGAGACAUAGAACUUCAGUGGUCCUUCCGGGGACCUUUCCAUCUCCCCCAACUUGUUUUACUCAAAAUUAAGUGAGAAAGUUGUGGUUGCAAAACAACAAACAACCAACAACAAAAACUGAAUGGAUGCCCACUUUAACUGGUACCUGAGGCUUCCAAAGGUUUUCAGGAUUCUAGCUUUGGCUCUUUGCAAAAUACUCCUUCUAAAAUAACUGUGGAGGGGGCGCCUGGGUGGUUCAGUCGGUUAAGCGGCUGCCUUCAGCUUGGGUCAU
Zalophus californianus (California sea lion) is the source of this 722-nucleotide long non-coding RNA. RefSeq lists it as uncharacterized. The record is from RefSeq and is a predicted model, not a curated record. The transcript is spliced from 3 exons. Lineage: Eukaryota; Metazoa; Chordata; Mammalia; Carnivora; Otariidae.